UACGGAGGGAGCUAGCGUUGUUCGGAAUUACUGGGCGUAAAGCGCACGUAGGCGGCUUUGUAAGUUAGAGGUGAAAGCCCGGGGCUCAACUCCGGAACUGCCUUUAAGACUGCAUCGCUUGAAUCCAGGAGAGGUGAGUGGAAUUCCGAGUGUAGAGGUGAAAUUCGUAGAUAUUCGGAGGAACACCAGUGGCGAAGGCGGCUCACUGGACUGGUAUUGACGCUGAGGUGCGAAAGCGUGGGGAGCAAACAGG
This 253-nucleotide ribosomal RNA is filed under the name uncultured bacterium. RNAcentral's name for it is "partial 16S ribosomal RNA". It matches the Rfam family "Bacterial small subunit ribosomal RNA", at positions 524 to 776 of the family's 1533-position model. The record is from RNAcentral.